Molecule: ribosomal RNA, 164 nt
Filed under: Acer albopurpurascens x Acer buergerianum var. formosanum
Lineage: Eukaryota; Viridiplantae; Streptophyta; Magnoliopsida; Sapindales; Sapindaceae
Description: 5.8S ribosomal RNA
Rfam family: 5.8S ribosomal RNA
About the family: 5.8S ribosomal RNA (5.8S rRNA) is a component of the large subunit of the eukaryotic ribosome. It is transcribed by RNA polymerase I as part of the 45S precursor that also contains 18S and 28S rRNA.
Source: RNAcentral
AAAACGACUCUCGGCAACGGAUAUCUCAGCUCUCGCAUCGAUGAAGAACGUAGCAAAAUGCGAUACUUGGUGUGAAGUGCAGAAUCUCGUGAACCAUCGAGUCUUUGAACACAAGUUGCGCCCCAAGCUAUUAGGCCGAGGGCACGCCUGCUUGGGUGUCACAC